RNAcentral lists this ribosomal RNA (492 nucleotides) under uncultured bacterium. RNAcentral describes it as "partial 16S ribosomal RNA". It matches the Rfam family "Bacterial small subunit ribosomal RNA", at positions 29 to 507 of the family's 1533-position model. The record is from RNAcentral.
AGUGAACGCUGGCGGUAGGCCUAACACAUGCAAGUCGAACGGCAGCACAGUAAGAGCUUGCUCUUACGGGUGGCGAGUGGCGGACGGGUGAGGAAUACAUCGGAAUCUACUUUUUCGUGGGGGAUAACGUAGGGAAACUUACGCUAAUACCGCAUACGACCUACGGGUGAAAGCAGGGGAUCUUCGGACCUUGCGCGAUUGAAUGAGCCGAUGUCGGAUUGGCUAGUUGGCGGGGUAAAGGCCCACCAAGGCGAGGAUCCGUAGCUGGUCUGAGAGGAUGAUCAGCCACACUGGAACUGGGACACGGUCCAGACUCCUACGGGAGGCAGCAGUGGGGAAUAUUGGACAAUGGGCGCAAGCCUGAUACAGCCAUACCGCGUGGGUGAAGAAGGCCUUCGGGUUGUAAAGCCCUUUUGUUGGGAAAGAAAAGCAGCAGGUUAAUACCCCGCUGUUCUGACGGUACCCAAAGAAUAAGCACCGGCUAACUUCGUG